RNAcentral lists this ribosomal RNA (488 nucleotides) under Moniligastridae sp. SC201759-02. RNAcentral describes it as "partial large subunit ribosomal RNA". It matches the Rfam family "Bacterial large subunit ribosomal RNA", at positions 1813 to 2605 of the family's 2925-position model. The record is from RNAcentral. Lineage: Eukaryota; Metazoa; Annelida; Clitellata; Moniligastrida; Moniligastridae.
ACAUUGCUCCUUGAUAAAUUAUAAGGAGUACCUCCUGCCCAGUGAAACUCUUCAACGGCCGCGGUAUUUUAACCGUGCAAAGGUAGCAUAAUCAUUUGCCCAUUAAUUGUGGGCUAGAAUGAACGGAUUAACGAAAUAAGGACUGUCUCUACUACUUACAUGUAAAUUAAUAUUUAGGUGAAGAAGCCUAAAUAAGAUUGAAGGACAAGAAGACCCUAUAGAGCUUUAUUUUAACAAGAGCCUUUCUUAAAUAAAUUCGGUUGGGGCGACUAAGGAGAUCUAAAUCCUCCUACUUUAAAAGAUUUAUAUAUCUAAAAAAAGACCCUGCAAAGAACACUAGACCUAGCUACCUUAGGGAUAACAGGCUAAUUCUUCUUAAGAGUUCUUAUCUAUAGUAGAGUUUGGCACCUCGAUGUUGGCUUAGGGAAUCUUAAUGGAGCAAAAACUGUUACAGAAGGUUUGUUCAACCUAUAAAUCCCUACGUGAUC